This 492-nucleotide ribosomal RNA is filed under the name uncultured bacterium. RNAcentral describes it as "partial 16S ribosomal RNA". It matches the Rfam family "Bacterial small subunit ribosomal RNA", at positions 29 to 507 of the family's 1533-position model. The record is from RNAcentral.
AGUGAACGCUGGCGGUAGGCCUAACACAUGCAAGUCGAACGGCAGCACAGUAAGAGCUUGCUCUUACGGGUGGCGAGUGGCGGACGGGUGAGGAAUACAUCGGAAUCUACUUUUUCGUGGGGGAUAACGUAGGGAAACUUACGCUAAUACCGCAUACGACCUACGGGUGAAAGCAGGGGAUCUUCGGACCUUGCGCGAUUGAAUGAGCCGAUGUCGGAUUAGCUAGUUGGCGGGGUAAAGGCCCACCAAGGCGACGAUCCGUAGCUGGUCUGAGAGGAUGAUCAGCCACACUGGAACUGAGACACGGUCCAGACUCCUACGGGAGGCAGCAGUGGGGAAUAUUGGAGAAUGGGCGCAAGCCUGAUCCAGCCAUACCGCGUGGGUGAAGAAGGCCUUCGGGUUGUAAAGCCCUUUUGUUGGGAAAGAAAAGCAGCAGGUUAAUACCCCGCUGUUCUGACGGUACCAAAAGAAUAAGCACCGGCUAACUUCGUG